GACGAACGCUGGCGGCGUGCUUAACACAUGCAAGUCGAACGGAAAGGCCCUGCUUUUGUGGUGUGCUCGAGUGGCGAACGGGUGAGUAACACGUGAGUAACCUGCCCUUGACUUUGGGAUAACUUCAGUAAACUGGGGCUAAUACCGGAUAGGAGCUCCUGCUGCAUGGUGGGGGUUGGAAGGUUUCGGCGGUUGGGGAUGGACUCGCGGCUUAUCAGCUUGUUGGUGGGGUAGUGGCUUACCAAGGCUUUGACGGGUGGCCGGCCUGAGAGGGUGACCGGCCACAUUGGGACUGAGAUACGGCCCAGACGCCUACGGGAGGCAGCAGUGGGGAAUAUUGCACAAUGGGCGGAAGCCUGAUGCAGCAACGCCGCGUGCGGGAUGACGGCCUUCGGGUUGUAAACCGCUUUCGCCUGUGACGAAGCGUGAGUGACGGUAAUGGGUAAAGAAGCACCGGCUAACUACGUG
Molecule: ribosomal RNA, 468 nt
Filed under: uncultured bacterium
Lineage: Bacteria
Description: partial 16S ribosomal RNA
Rfam family: Bacterial small subunit ribosomal RNA
Source: RNAcentral